Molecule: ribosomal RNA, 465 nt
Filed under: uncultured Klebsiella sp.
Lineage: Bacteria; Pseudomonadati; Pseudomonadota; Gammaproteobacteria; Enterobacterales; Enterobacteriaceae
Description: bacterial SSU rRNA
Rfam family: Bacterial small subunit ribosomal RNA
Source: RNAcentral
CCUACGGGAGGCUGCAGUGGGGAAUAUUGCACAAUGGGCGCAAGCCUGAUGCAGCCAUGCCGCGUGUGUGAAGAAGGCCUUCGGGUUGUAAAGCACUUUCAGCGGGGAGGAAGGCGGUGAGGUUAAUAACCUCAUCGAUUGACGUUACCCGCAGAAGAAGCACCGGCUAACUCCGUGCCAGCAGCCGCGGUAAUACGGAGGGUGCAAGCGUUAAUCGGAAUUACUGGGCGUAAAGCGCACGCAGGCGGUCUGUCAAGUCGGAUGUGAAAUCCCCGGGCUCAACCUGGGAACUGCAUUCGAAACUGGCAGGCUAGAGUCUUGUAGAGGGGGGUAGAAUUCCAGGUGUAGCGGUGAAAUGCGUAGAGAUCUGGAGGAAUACCGGUGGCGAAGGCGGCCCCCUGGACAAAGACUGACGCUCAGGUGCGAAAGCGUGGGGAGCAAACAGGAUUCGAUACCCUGGUAGUC